GAGUUCAUGCCCUUCGGGGUAGACCUCCCACCCUAUGUAUACAUUGCCUUUGUUGCUUCGGCGGACCGCCUUCGGGCCACCGGCUCCGGCUGGUGCGCGCCUGGCAGAGGACCCCAACUCUGAAUCAUAAACAUGUCGUCUGAGUACUAUAUAAUAAGUUAAAACUUUCAACAACGGAUCUCUUGGUUCU
This 190-nucleotide unclassified non-coding RNA is filed under the name rhizosphere metagenome. RNAcentral describes it as "partial ribosomal RNA internal transcribed spacer region". The record is from RNAcentral.